CUCUUAUUCUCUUCUCCCCUCCCUGCUGGCUGGUGGUAGAUAGGAUGGACACUGUGGGGAAGCUACACCCAAAGGAAGUCAGAGCAGCAAGAUGGAAGUAGCCUAAGACCCUGAAAAAUGCACAGAGAAGAAUCACCCGACUGGCUUGUACUUUCAUGUGAAAGGAAUGAACCUCUGUCUCAGUAAAGCCACCGUGAUUCAGGGUCCUUGUCAUAUUCACUGAGGCUGUAACGUAAUUGUUAGAAAGAAUAGGAGGGGAGAUGGAGUCGGAGAGGCAGGCAGAGGUAGAUCACAUCAGGCAUGUAGGCCAAGGCGGAGGAAGAAACAGGCGACACAGGACUCAAGGACCACACCUGCUCCCAGGCGAAGGGAGUUUGCUGUGGGUGCCCCUCCCUGUCCGUGUGUCCAGUGUGUGGAUAUUCUUUAUACCUUACCCGUAUUGUACAAAUACUUUUUUCUAUUCAAUAUUUAGAAGACAUUGCAUUAAAUAGCAAGAUGGCAGAUGAACAUCAGGAAGGAACAUUAGGAACAUCCACGGUGUUCCAUCCAGGAACCUUCACCAUGGAAACCCUUGUGCUCAUGGGCCUGGUCUCAAGACGCAGUCAGCUGUUGGGGAUCAGAGGCCGCACUCAUCGUAGCAGAGAGGCAGGACCAGCUGGGAGAGGGUCCUUCUGUGACACCAAGCAUCACCGGGCUGUGGGAAGUGACUCAGCUGCCAGAACUCACACAAUAUCAUUCUGCACCAAAACCUCACGGGAAAAAUGCUCCAUGACCCUCAGACUUAAACAGCAGCACUGGCUCCUCCCCAGAUCUCCAGCUCCCUGACCCUCAAACUCCAACUCCAGCACCAGCUCCGCCCGGGUCUCCAGCUCCACCAUCCUCAAACUACAACAGCAGCACCAGCUCCCGCGUGGAUCUCCAGCUCAAUGACUCUCAGACUUGGGAGGCAGCACCGGCUCCCCACCAAGACUCCAGCUCUACAACACUCAAACUAGAACAGCAGCACCGGCUACUCCCUGGCUCUCCAGCUCCCUCAAACUUCAACGAUAGCACUGGCUGUUCCCCGGGACCACCAGCUCCACAACCCUCAACUUACAUGGCGGUAGCACCAGCUCCUCCCUAGGUCUCCAGCUCCACGACCAUCAAACUUGAACCGCAACACCAGCUCCUCUUCAGCCUCCAGCUCCACAAUCCGCAAACAACAACAGCAACACCUGCGCCUCCCUGAAUCUCCAGCUCAACAACUCUCAGACAUGAGAGGCAGCACCAGCACCUCCCCAAGGCUCCAGUUCCACGACCCUCAGAUUUGAACAGCGGUAGCACCACCUCCCGUGCAGGUCUCCAGUUUCACGAACCUUAAACUAGAACAGCAGCACCAUCGCCUCCCUGGGUUUCCAGCUCCACGACCCUAAGACUUGAAUGACAGAACCAGGUCACCCCUAGGGCACCAGCUCCGAGACCCACAGAUUUGAAAGGCAGCGCCGGCUCUUCCCGGGAUCUCCAGCUCCACAGCCCUCAGACUAGAUCAGCACCACCGGCUCCCCUCUGGGUCUCCCUUCAGCUCCACAAUCCGUAGACAUGAACAAUAGCACCGGCUCCUCCCUGGGUCUCCAGCUUCACUCCCCUCAGACACAAACAGCAACAGCACCAGCUCCUCCCCCUGUCUCCAGUUCCACGAACCUCAAACUACAACAGCAGUACCAGCCUCUCCCCAGGCCUCCAGGUCCAAGACCCUCAAAAUACAAUGGCAUGACCGGCUCCUCCCUGGGUCUCCAGCUCCCAAACCCUCAAACUUCAAGUGACACACCGGACCCUCCCCACAGUUAAACAGCAGCACAGGCUCUUCCCCAAAUCUCCAGAUCCACGACCCUCUGACUUAAGUGCUUAAAGCACCGGCUCCUCCCAAGGUCUCCAGUUCCACGACAAUCAAACUAUACAGCAGCACUAGCUCCUCCCCAGGCCUACAGCUCCACCACCCGCACACUAGACACCGAGACUACCUCCUCCCCGCGCUCCAGCUACAUGACCCUCAGACUUGAAGAGCAGCAGCAGCUCCUCCCUGUACCUCAAGCCCCAUGACCCUCAGACUUGAACAAGAGCAACACCAGCUCCCCCACAGGGCUCCAGCUUCAGGACCCACAGAUAUAAACAGCAGCACCGGCUCUUCCUGAGACCUCCAGCUCCACUACCCUCAAACUGGAACACAGCACCAGCUCCUCCUUGGGUCUCCAGCUCCACGACCCUCACACUAGAACAGUAACACCGGUUCCUCCCUGGAUCUCCAGCUCAAUGACUCUCAGACUUGAAAGGCAGCACCGGCUCCUCACAAAGGUUCUGGCUCCAAGAUCCUCAAACUAGAAAAGCAGCAGCUGCUGUCCUUGGGUCUCCAGCUCUACCACCCUCAAAGUAGAAGAGCAGCCCUGACUCUUGCCUGAGUCUCCAGCUCCUCAAGUCUGAGGGUUGUAGAGCUGGAGACCCAGGGAGGAGUCAGUGCUGCUGUUCUAGUUUGAGGGUCGUGGAUCUGGAGACCCAGGGAGGAGUCAGCGCUGCUGUUCUAGUUUGAGGGUCGUGGAUCUGGAGACUCAGGGUGGAGCCGGUGCUGCUGUUCUAGCAUGAGGGUCGUGGAGCUGGAAGACCCCGAGAGGAGCUGCUGCUGCUGUCCUAGUUUGAAGAUCAUGGAGCUGGAGAACCGGGAAGGAGCCAUUUGAACAGCAGCGCCGGCUCCUCCCCAGGUCUCAGGCUCCAUGACCCUCAGACUUAAAAAGCCAUAGUACGGGCUUCACCCUGGGUCUUCAGCUCUACAGCCCUCAGACAUGAGGAGCAGCAACACCGCCUCCUCCCCCUGUCUCCAGUUCCAUGAACCUCAAACUACAACAGCAGUACCGGCCUCUCCCCAGGUCUCCAGAUACACGACCCUCAAAAUAAAAUGGCAUCACCGGCUCCUCCCUGGUUCUCCAGCUCCCAAACCCUCAAACUUCAACUGACACACCGGAUCCUCCCCACAGUUAAACAGCAACACGGGCUGUUCCCCAAAGCUCCAGAUCUACGACCCCCUGACUUAAAUGGCGGUAACACCAGCUCCUCCCUAAGUCUCCAGUUCCACGACCCUCAAACUACACAGCAGCACCGGCUCCUCCCCAGGUCUACAGCUCCACCACCCUCACACUAGACACCGAGACUACCCCCUCCCUACUCUUCUGCUACACGAUCCUUAGACUUGAACAGCAGCAGCGGCUCCUCCCUGUACCUCAAGCCCCGUGACCCUCAGACCUGAACAACAGCAACAACAGCUCCCUCCGGUGUCUCCAGCUCCAUAACCUUCAGCCAUAAACAACAGCAGCACCAGCUUCCCCUCCCCCAGUAUCUCCAGCUCCACCACCCUCAUACUAGAACAGCACCAGUCCUCCCUGUGUCUCCGGCUCCAUGAUCCUCAACCUACAACAGCAACACCGGCUCCUCCCUGGAUCUCCAGCUCAACAACUCUCAGACUUGAGAGGCAGCACCGGCAACUCCCCAAGGCUCCAGCUCCACCACCCUCAGAUUUGAACAGCAGUAGCACCACCUCCUAUCCACGUCUCCAGCUUCAUGAACCUUAAACUAGAAAAGCAGCACCGCUGCCUCCCUGGGUUUUCAGCUCCAAGAACCUAAGACACGAAUGGCAGAACUGGCUCCCCCGCAGAGCUCCAGCUCCAGGACCCACAGAUUUCAAUGCGAGCACCAGCUCCUCCCGGGAUCUCUACCUCCACUACUCUCAAACUAGAACAGCAGCACCAGCUCCUCCCCCUGUCUCCACUUCCAUGACCCUCAAACUACAACAGCAGUACCAGACUCUCCCCAGGUCUCCAGAUACACGACCCUCAAAAUACAAUGGCAUCACCGGCUGCUCCCUGGGUCUCCAGCUCCCAAACCCUCAAACUUCAAUUGACACACUGGAUCCUCCCCACAGUUAAACAGCAGCACAGGCUGUUCCCCAAAACUCCAGAUCCACGACCUUCUGACUUAAAUGGCGGUAGCAUUGGUUCCUCCCUAGGUCUCCAGUUCCAUGACCCUCAAACUCCACAGCAGCACCGGCUCCUCCCCAGGUCUACAGCUCCACCACCCUCACACUAGACACCGAGACUACCUCCUCCUCUACACGACCCUCAGACUUGAACAGAGGCAGCAACGCCUCUCUGUACCUCAAGCCCCAUGACCCUCAGAUUUGAACAACAGCAACACCAUCUGCCCCCCAGGGCUCCAGCUCCAGAACCCACAGAUUUAAACACCAGCACCAG
Macaca mulatta (Rhesus monkey) is the source of this 4274-nucleotide long non-coding RNA. NCBI's taxonomy places the organism in Eukaryota, Metazoa, Chordata, Mammalia, Primates, Cercopithecidae. The record is from Ensembl.